This is a non-coding RNA of Punica granatum (pomegranate), 656 nucleotides long. Lineage: Eukaryota; Viridiplantae; Streptophyta; Magnoliopsida; Myrtales; Lythraceae. The record is from RefSeq and is a predicted model, not a curated record.
GAACUUUCAUUUUUCUGCCCACAGUUUUCAAAUUUCAAAUUUUUUACCUCUCAUUCCCUCUUUUUUUUAUCUUCAUGCCCGGGCCAUCCCUUCUUCUUCUUCUUCUUCUUCUUCUUGUUAUGUCUCCACCUCCCUCUUCCUUCUGCACUGCAGACACAAAGAUAGAGCCCAUAUCGAGGCUGAAUUGAAGUUCACAAUGUUUGGGACGGCAUUCCUCGGAAUCCUCUCCUUCCCUUUGCUUCGUUAGGACUGAAUUGAUGAUUACUUUGCUGUGAUCAAGUGAAGGAUCUCGAUAGAGACCAAGAAGAUGUUCAUUAUCGAGAUUUCGUGGGACACGAAUGAGGACCGACUUAGGGAGUGUAAGGAGAGUUUCGGGGAGGUCAUCGAGGCUGUGAUAAUGAAAGAUCGAGUCGCCGUCACGCCCGUGGGUUUGGGUUCUUGGUCUUUACCGAUCCUUUUAUUGCAGAGAGAGCUAUCCUCAAGAAGCACAUCAUAGAGAAAUUUGCCUCGGAGCAGUCGGGACUUGGGUAGUGGGUUCAUGAACCUUAAGAGGCCAUCGGCCUUUCCCGGGGUCGUGUAAUAUGAAUGAAUUCUUAAAUAAUUAUGUAAUAUUACUUUGGGAAUAUGUAAAAUAUCGUUGUCGAUUAUUGAUAGUA